Non-coding RNA from Triticum aestivum (bread wheat), 124 nucleotides. The record is from Rfam. NCBI's taxonomy places the organism in Eukaryota, Viridiplantae, Streptophyta, Magnoliopsida, Poales, Poaceae.
UAUGUACUCCCUCCAUCCGGAAAUACUUGACCUGGAAAUGGAUGUAUCUAGACUUAUUUUAGUUAUAUAUACAUCCAUUUUAUCUAUUUUUAGGACAAGUAUUUCUGGACGGAGGGAGUAUUAU